Molecule: non-coding RNA, 7624 nt
Organism: Myodes glareolus (Bank vole)
Lineage: Eukaryota; Metazoa; Chordata; Mammalia; Rodentia; Cricetidae
Source: RefSeq, a predicted model, not a curated record
UAUGUACGGUCGCGCUGAGUCAUGUUAAUAAGGGAUCAGUAAAGAAGAAAGAACUGCUGACAUUGCAGAGGUACAUGAAGCUGCCAUAAUUACCUUCACUCCAAUAGCCCUUAGCCUCAGGCAUGAAACAGCAUUUUUCUUUGACUGUUGUAAGAUAUAGAUCCCAUACUUCUUUCAGUGAGCAUAUAUAUCCAGGGUGGCAUAAAUGGGCCUCUAAAUUAUUAAGAAACUUAGCUUAACCAAGACUUAGUCCCAGGCAUUUUACAUUUUAUGAAAUAAGCUUAUUCCAGAACUAACAGAUGCCACCCGGGAAAGACAAAUUGCACAUUUCAGAAGUGGUAUUUUAAACCAAACUGGUCUGAGCUAGCGGAACAAUCUAUAUGCUUCUAAAAUCUUAUAUCUUAUCUACAUAUCUAGGUUUCUGUUUCUUUGUUUCCAACUUCCUCCCCUCUAAGAUUGAUUACAGCGUUUUCUAUAAUUCAUUAUAGUCUGCUUUUGCUCAAGGAGACAAUCCCUUGAAAUUUACACCAAAUUACCCCGAUAAUGGAUGCGCCCUCAUAAUUCACCUGUCUUCUGUACAUUCACUGAUUUGUGAAACGCUUUAGAACCGAACCUCUCUUUUUAAUGGACCAGACAUGUGCUUUGGGCUGUCCCAACCAGGACACAUAUCACAUGACAAUGGUUUCUGGAAUCACCCCAGAAACCAAAGGUGCAAGUGGGAGAUUGUGUGUGUGUUGUGUUUCACAAUGCACAGUUAUCGCCUUGAUGGCUCUUUGUCUUUUGAAAUGUAAGUAUUCCUGCUGUUCCUAACUCAUAAGCCAAAAUAUGAUGCACAUCUUGUUUGAGGGCAAAAUGUACCUUUUAGCCCAAAAGUCAAAACCUUGCUUCUUUUUAAAACAAAUCUCCAAUUAAUUCUGAGUUUAAGAGACUACUAAAUUAAAUGUUUCCUGUCACAUGUUAGCACUAUGGGGCCUUUGAUUGAAAGGAGCCUAGUAUAAUCUUAUUGAACCAGUAGGUCGCAGGAAUCAGAGAAAACGGGUUUGGAUCACAGGAGAGCGUGGAUGUUGGAUGGAUCUGUGAGUACUCUCUGUUGUGGUAUCAGCUGACUGAUGCUUGUGGGUCUCAGAAGGGCUCCAACAUUUCGCCUUCUAAAAGCUGGAGAUUAAUGCAACCAUGGCGAACCGCACAGCAACACCCUGGCAAAGAAAAAGGGUUAGGGCUGGCGAGAUGUGGCAGGUGUCAAAAUAAAAGGUUAGGCUCUGUGCCUGGGGACCCAUCUGUCAGAUAAAACCAUGAUAAGACAAUUAAUGUAUUUGUUUAUGUUGCUCAUGACACAUCCUGCGUUCCAUAAAGAUGAUCAGUUUAAACACUGUCAACUGCUUUCUGGAAAUUAGACUGCAUGUAAAAAGAAAAUGCCCAAGAUAGAAAGAAAUGAGGGUUUAUUAGUUAAAUGGGUAGUUUAUACAGUCAAAUCAAGUUAACUUGCAGACUUCUAGCGAUCUGUACGAAAGAACUAAAGCUAUUAACCUCAACAUCUUCAUAAUGUAGAGUUUAUAUUAGGGACGUUUGAAGUGGAUGUUGUGCCGCAAGACAAUUGGUAUAGCAUCUCAAAAUUUCACCAUGCUUUACAUUCAUGAUACUAGGUUCUAAGUUUGUAAUAAAAUGUGUCCCAGGGAAUGUAUGGGAAGAGGAGAAUUUUCAUCCACGAGCUAUGGAUCCUGCAUUAUCUUCAAAUGUUUUGUUCACAGCGUUGUCAUGUUUAGGGCUUUCAUCUUCCCUCUGUGAGUAAUUCUGACUCCUCUCAUUGUAUUUAUUAUUUAUUUAGCUUUCUCACGACAUCUGCUUUGCAAUCUGUUUAAACUAGAACAUGCUUAGAUUUUAUAUUCAUCAGUGAUCUAUUUCUUGCCGAUAAAAGAAAUUAUCAGAUGCUUUUAAAAUGCCCUGUUAUUUUACAGGUCAACAAAUAUAAAAUGGCUUACCUAGAAUUAUGAAAGAAAUAAGUUUUCUUUUCCCAGUUCAAAAUUUCAGGUAGAAAUUGAUUUCCUCAUUUCUUUCUACUGUGGACCUUUAAAAAGGUUCCCAGUUAUUGUUUCAAUACCUUAUUCUUACCGUCAUGUUACAUUUUGAAGAGAAGAAACUGGCUCAUCAACAGCAUAAUAUGCUACAAAGAAGGAAGAGUCAAGGCCUUUGACUUCUGAUGAAAAACCAACUAUGACUCUCCUGUUCCUAAGCUGCACACUCUGACAGUGACGCUGUUAGCUUUCUUUGUGACAAGAGAAAGAAGCGUUCGCAAACAGAACUCUGGUGUUCAAUAUAUUUAUUUUUCAUUUUGUUGGGACAGGAUUUUCCCCCUUAUCACUACUUCCCAUCUAUUAGAAGGGUUUUAGUUAACCAUUAAAUCAAUGAGUUUUUUCUUCAUUAGGAAAACUUCUCUGCCCAAAGCAUGUCACCAUCUUAUAUUUUCUACCGUCUCUCACUGAAGCAUGGAUUCAAUGGAGCCACAGGGAUAUUAGGAUAGAAGCCUGGCUAAAGGUCAGUGGAGACUCAAAACACAGACUUUAUUAUACAGUUCUUCCAGCAGUCUGAUGCAUGACUUACAAAUUACAUCUGCAGUCCAAGUACAACUAACUACUAUUUAAAAUUGAAUUCACUUCUGCCUGCAUUUCCUGACUCGGAGGUUUAUGCUGUUGCUUUAAUUUUAUUUGAAUUUCAGUCUUCUGAAUUAGCUCUAUUUCCUAUCUCUUUAUCUUCAUUUGCCUGGAUGCAGUUGAAAAUACACUACAGCAAAAUAAAAUUCUUAGUCACCAUCCUGGACGACUCUUCAAAAAUUCUAAGAUGUGUAAGGUUACCUAGUUGUGAUCGGCUUAGCUCACUGGCCACUUUCUCUGUAGCACAGAAUAAAAGUAAUAAUCUCAACAGCAAGUCGGAAUCUCUCUCACCCAUUUUUUCACAGAUCCAUUAAAAGAUACAUCGGACAAAAGGUAAGCUGAUUUCUAACUUCUUCACCGUAGGGACUGUCCAUUGGAAAUGAGCAGUUUCACAGUACACGUUCUAUCUUUACGUGGGGAGAACAUAAACGAAGCGGUUCCUUUUAUUUUAAAAUGUUUUAAUUUCUGCUUUUACUUUUUUGCAGAACUGUGAAAGAAUAAUUUUGCUGGAUAUCCACUUAUUUCAGUUCAGUCAUUUGAAGACAGUAUGAGAAUUCGGGUGGGGUUGUUGACCCCUCUUUGCUCUGGGACAGUGAAAACCUGCCUCUGUUUUCACCACAGGUCAGUUUUCAUAAGCUAUUCCCUGACAGACCAACUAGAGAUGCUAAAUCACCAAACCGCUUCUCUUAUUUUUUAAGCAUAAUAAAUAUACAGUUAUUUGGGGGAAAUAAUGACUCAUUGGCCACUCCUUCAAUCCAUGAUAAUGGUAAACAGUGACUCUCUGAAUUUUGAUUAUUUUAACAAACAAUUAAAAUCCUCAGCAUAAACUGUGUUAUGUAAGGAAAGUGUCUGCAACCAAUUUUGUUUCUCAUUAUUAAAAAAAGGUUGUUAUUUCUUUCAGGAAAUCUGCUUGAAAUUGAUUAGAGCGUCCCACCCGUGUCAGGUGUUCCUUUCAUUAGCUUCACCUCCUUCUGGAUCUCAUUUGUCUUAAGCAUCACUUUUCUGGCCAAACAUUUGUAUAUGUUUUUCUUGUAGUCUAUAGUUUUAUGGGUUUAUCUUUUUUUAAUUCGUUGAACAUUUGUUCAUUAUUAGAUAGGUAAUAUUUUACCUCCAUUUCCAGAUGACAAAACUCUGGUAUACUAAGAGUAAAUCAUUCUUAAAACAUGAACCUAUCUUAUUUUAGUAAUAGGAAUGUUUUGCAUCUACUUCAUGCUCAGAUGCUGAAGAACGCGAAGGACAGCCUGAGAGUUGUGUGACAGGAAAGAAAAAUAAAUAGGUGAGUAUUCGGAGAAAAUUAGGACAGGGGAAGCAAGGAGAUUUGUUGGAGGACAAGUCUGAUGAUUUAAGAUGAAGCAUGACAGCAAAAGAUGGGUAGGGGACAACUCUAAGUGGCUCAGUUUCGCUCUGUCUUGCUGCGCUAAAAUAACCUGCCCAAAGCUUCUUAAGGGAGAAAGACUGUCUUACAGCCCAGGGUUCCAGGCUCAGUCCAUCAUGGAGGGGGAGUCAGACAGCAAGCAUCUGAAGGAGCUGAACACAACCAUCUGCAUUUGGAAGAGAGCAGUGAGUGCCAGUCUGUGCACCAGGGCUCAGCCCCUUUUCUCUAAGAUCCCCCCCCACCCCGCUGACUAAGAAUGGCACACCCACAGAGGGGAGGGCUUUACCCUUUAUUAACUAAAUCAAGAGAAUCCCCCACAGGUUUAUCCAGAGGCCAAUCUCCCAGGUGCUUCAAGAUUUUUUUAUUGUCAAGUAGACAACCUGAACCAGUACACUAUGGAAACUUGCAAAAAUCUUAUGAUAAUGAUGAAGAGGGAGAAAGGAAGUCAUGAGAAAUAAUGCAUAAAUGGAUUUCUGGGUCUUGAGCAUGAUUUGAUUAAUUCUGAAAUAAUGUUUCCAGUAUGGAAUUCAUUUUCAAGAUAGAAUAAAGAGGAACCUCUGUCUCAGAAGAUGUUAUGCAUGUUGUAACAGUUCAUCAUGGGAGUGGAUUAGCAUGUGAGGAAGAUAUUAUAUAGUGACUCGGAAGACGGACUUUGUAGAGAAAUAGGAGCCCAAUUGCCUGCUUCAUCCUUCCUGUUAUGUGUGUAAUCUUGACAAGAGUCAGAGAUACCUCCUACAGCAGCAGGAUAGCUGACCAUGCGCAUCCCCCUAACAUCAUGUCCAGGAACAACCCAGUAGCGGAUCACACACAGCCAAGAUGAUUUACAGCCUCACACUGGACAAUCAUAGAUUAGGCAAAUCAGGGUUUUAGUCCUCUUGCAUUAUUUCAGCAGCAAACCGCUGGAGGCCAACAACAUCCCUAACCCUUACAAGUCUUCCUUCUUUGUUUUCACUGGAGAAGAAACAAAUAGAAUGAAUGUACUAAUCCCUGCGUAAGAUUCUGCAGACCUUUCAACAGAUGCCAUAUCUCGCGUUUCCUGUAUGUAGCAAGCAUCAGUAUCAUAACUCUUGUAAUUUAAUUCAGCAUGUUCUACAGGACAGUGAACAUUUUGCAAUUCUAAUGCAUGCAAAAGCAUUUCAAUUACUUCAUCACCAUUCCAGAGGAAGAAGAUUUGUGAAAGUUCUUUUACUGGCUUAACAGUGUCAUCGUUUCUUUCUCUGUCAACCGGGGAGCAGCUUUCAUAUGAUGCAAUUUCUCCAAAUACUCUUAAACAGUUGUCUCUACUGAGUGUUAUACAGCCAAGAGCCUCCAUUGAUAAGUGCUUCAAUAUUCAUUCCAACACUACCUGCCCAAACUCCUUCUCAGACUCCAACACAGAGCCUUGCCCUGGUGCUUUGGGAGGCCAGAAGAGGGUGUCAGAUCACCUGGAGCUUGAGCUACAUACGGAUGUGAGCUGCCCAACUUUGUAAUUCACCAGACCAGCAGCUGGGAAGAACUCCUCAUGUUCUGUCCUGGGAAAGAAGUAGCUUACAAAUAUUGUCCUUCGUAGAAGCAAAGAGAAGUGAACUUGUUUCAACUGUUCAUAAUUAUGUACUAUUUAUUGGAUUGUCUGGGUUCUUUCACAAAAUAUGUGCCCUGGGUUAUUAUCCAUAUUGGCGAUAAUAAUAGUUUGCUUACUUUCAGAACUUGCAGUAUUAAACUUCAUUACAAAAUUUUUGCAAUUGUCUUGCUCCUGCUACUAUCUAUGCAAAUUUCUUGCUCCUCAGUCCCCCAGCUUUUGGUUAAAAUGAGUACUGUUUUUACAGUAACUGACACAUCUGUGUAUACAUGCAUAUGAGUAUUUAUAUUUAUUUCUAAUGAAUGCAGUUGUUCAUGUGUUUCUUUAAUAAGCCUGUAGAGCUUGCCUCUAAGCUUUCCUCCCCUGGUUGUAUUCUGUUAGCACUGGGCUAGGUUCAACUGCACUUCAGCCUCACCAGUACUGUCUCUGUCUCUUUACUCUACUCUGGGAGGUUAGCAGGGACCUCAGUCUGUUUCUGACUUACAUUAAGUUGAUGAACAAAGUAAUCAGAGGAAUUUUUCACAGCCAGUGGCCCUUUGGACAUGCUCAUUUGUCAACAGUCUAUUAAAGUCCUUUCCCAAGCUUUCUACUAGUCUGUAUCAUUUUCAUAUAGAUCUGCAAAUGUUCUUAUAUAUCCUCGAUGAAUUUGGGUACUGUCAAUUUAUGCAUAUGUGUAUGUCAUUUACUAAUACAUUUUGAUUUUAAUUCUAUCUAUGAUAUUUUUUAGUCACCAAGUAAUCUUUCAUUUUCUAUUUUAUUUAUUAUUAUUAUUGCCUAUUUCUGUGAUGUGAUAUGAUGUGAUGUGGUGCGGUGUGUGUGUGUGUGUGUGUGUGUGUGUGUGUGUGUGCACGUGCUCUUGUGCAAGCCAGGCCACAUGUGCAUGGAUCAGAGGACAAUAUUCAGGAAUGGAUUCUUUUUGCAUCACAGACAUUGAACUUACGUUGUCAAGCUUGUAAAGCAAACACAUUCGCUGAGCCAAACAUCCUUCAAAUUAGUACAGUUAAGCUUGCUAACUGAACUGUAAUGCUGUUUAACUUACCAUUUUCUUCUUAAUGUAAUGUUAAUGAUAUGUACUGAUUAAUAAAUCAUUGCCUUUUUCUAAAAUAGUUAAUUUCCUUAUUGAUUUUUAUUGCUUUACAACCUUGUUCUAUUCUACUGGAAUUUUAAUUGUGUGUGUAUGUGUGUAUCCAAUGGAACCACUUCCCUGCAUUCCCAUAGCCUGUGGCCCUCCCUAGUCAUAUGACUACAUGAACGUAGGAUAUUAUUGAGUUCACAUUGGUCCCUUCGGUAUAUUACAUUAUCAAAACUAUACUGUUUUAAUGAUCACAAAUUGACAAUAACUGAUAAAGACAUUCUUCAUUAUUCUUUUAUAAGAAUCUUGACUAUUUUUAAAAAGCAUUUAAAUUACAUUUAUUUGUUUAUUGAGUGCCGAGGGCAUUUGUAUGUAGGGGCACAGUACAAAUGAGAAAAUGGGAAAACUUGUAGCAGACAAUGCUCUCCUUUUAUCAUGUGGGGCUUGGGAAUCAAAUCCAUGCUAUAGCCAUCGUAACAAGUGCCUCUACUUAUCGAAUCAUUUUACUGACCUAUGCUCUUGACUAUUCUUAAAUCUCUGCAACUAUGUACAAUAUUUUAAUGAUCUGAUCAAUUUUCAAAUGAAGAUCUCAUUUGUUCUCUGAAUUCUAAAGGCUUUAUGAUUGGGUUUUUGAGCUUUUAUUUUGUUUAUGUGACAACUUUUCUUACUCUUUUUGAUGUUAAUAUUGACUAUUUGUAUUCUUUUAUUGUUAAAAACCCAUUAAAACUGAUCCAUUUUAAUGUAGUGCUCGAUUUAGUUUGCUAAUAUUUUGGUCAGCACAGAUCCAUCUAUAUUCAUGAAAGUGGUUCAUUGUGAUUUUAAUUUUUGUAAUAUUUUUGCCAUAUUUUGCUUAUUUUAAUAAGCCAACAAUUGAAUAGAAAUUGUUUCCUCUCAUUAUUUUCAUUAUUUUUGAUGGAAUUUUUGUAAAAUCUCUGUUAAUUGUCUUUAAGUAUUUCAAAAAGUUACUUGAU